RNAcentral lists this ribosomal RNA (433 nucleotides) under uncultured bacterium. Its description in RNAcentral is "partial 16S ribosomal RNA". It matches the Rfam family "Bacterial small subunit ribosomal RNA", at positions 29 to 507 of the family's 1533-position model. The record is from RNAcentral.
AACGAACGCUGGCGGCAUGCCUAACACAUGCCAGUCGAACGAGACCUUCGGGUCUAGUGGCGCACGGGUGCGUAACGCGUGGGAACCUGCCCUUAGGUUCGGAAUAACUCCCCGAAAGGGGUGCUAAUACAGGAUAAUGUCUUCGGACCAAAGAUUUAUCGCCUUUGGAUGGGCCCGCGUUGGUUUAGCCGGUUGGUAGGGUAAAAGCCUACCAAGGCGACGAUCCAUAGCUGGUCGGAGAGGAUGAUCAGCCACACUGGGACUGAGACACGGCCCAGACUCCUACGGGAGGCAGCAGUGGGGAAUAUUGGACGAUGGGCGAAAGCCUGAUCCAGCAAUGCCGCGUGAGUGAUGAAGGCCUUAGGGUUGUAAAGCUCUUUUACCCGGGAUGAUAAUGACAGUACCGGGAGAAUAAGCUCCGGCUAACUCCGUG